RNA transcript from Megalopta genalis, 1251 nucleotides. It is a transcript of the gene named protein THEM6, with no coding region annotated. The record is from RefSeq and is a predicted model, not a curated record. NCBI's taxonomy places the organism in Eukaryota, Metazoa, Arthropoda, Insecta, Hymenoptera, Halictidae.
UCUUUUUUCGGUUUAUCAACGUGGACUCGACACGCAGUCUUUCAUCGACUGUAGUCGCGUCAACGUCUACUGGUAGCUUAACUCCGAAUUCCUCAUUCUAUCACGACUUUUGAAACCGGUACAGAAAAAUGAUUUGCACUUGCGCUUGGGUGAUCGUGCUUCUCCUAUUUGUGUUGUUCGAUGUCAACUACUUCAUUAGAAUUGCGUUCACCGUCGGCACUGGCAGAAUCUUCAACAAGAAGAGGAAAAGUCUCCUGGAAGUCUCAACAAUUUACGGAAUAUGCACCUUCCAGGACAUCGAUAUAGCUCUGAAGCACAUGAACAAUGCUCGGUUCCUUCGAGAAUUGGACUUCGCGAGGUUUUAUUAUUGGGACAGCACAGCAUUAUAUGCAGGGAUCUGUAAAAGAGGCGGAAAUGCUGUGCAAGGUGCAUCGAUGACGCGGUACAGGAAGACUAUCGGGAUUUUUACACCGUUCAAGAUCACCACGAAGCUGAUCUACUGGGAUGACAAGAACAUCUACUUGGAGCACCAGUUCAUCAGCAUUCCCGAUGGCUUCGUCCGAGCUGUUGGCCUCAGUAAACAGACGACUUUUGGCCUGAAAGUUUCUGUCGAUGAAAUAUUGCAGGAACUGGAACCUGGCAUCGAAAAACCACAAAUGACAAAAGAGUUGCAAUUGUGGCUAGACACCAUGGAGGAAUCCUCUCAGAAACUAAAAAAGCGUAACUAAGCACCGUUUUCACCGUACAAUGCUCAGAAAUAUUUGAUUGUCAGAAAAGUAAACUUGGGAAGGUCAACCGUAGGUAACCUCGAAUGCUGGUACGAUUUCGGGAGACCCUUUGGAAGUGCUUAGUUUAUGACACGCCAGGGCUAUCGGGAAGGAUGAAACGAAAGGUUCGAUAUCGAAUAUUCGCCAAAUGUGAAAAUUGUCCUAAUCACAAAAAUAGCUCCUGGUCACGUCCAUGUCGUCAAGCUUACCGGCAAAGAUUUAAUGAAUUGUUUCUUCGCGAUGGAACCGGAUGCGAUGGUUAAUUGCACAGCGGUGGAGUUACCGUGGCCUUCGACAAUGCUACGCGAAUUCCUCCAAGUCGACCCUCGGUAGAAUGAAAAGAAAACAAUCUUAACACAUUGACAGCCGGCGACCUAAGAGACAUUUAAAGCCUGAGCGCCGGCAACGUAUCGGCCACUUAAAUCCCGAUCGCCGGUCUUAUUCGCUUGUUUCUGAUCACUGAAUAUAUUUUCGUAAAAUAGUA